UACGUAGGGGGCAAGCGUUGUCCGGAAUCAUUGGGCGUAAAGCGCGUGUAGGCGGCUCGGUAAGUCCGCUCUGAAAGUCCAGGGCUCAACCCUGGGAUGCGGGUGGAUACUGCCGAGCUCGAGUCCGGAAGAGGCGAGUGGAAUUCCUGGUGUAGCGGUGAAAUGCGCAGAUAUCAGGAGGAACACCAAUGGCGAAAGGCAGCUCGCUGGGACGUGACUGACGCCUGGAGACGCGAAAGCGUGGGGAGCAAACAGG
RNAcentral lists this ribosomal RNA (256 nucleotides) under uncultured bacterium. Its description in RNAcentral is "partial 16S ribosomal RNA". It matches the Rfam family "Bacterial small subunit ribosomal RNA", at positions 524 to 776 of the family's 1533-position model. The record is from RNAcentral.